CCCCACUAGCUGAUCUAUAAAACUCCCUACAUUUCACUGCGGAUCAGCAACCAAUUUUUCCAGGACCCCUCUUGGUAGCAGAGAUCUUCUCUUUCUUUUGCCUACUAAACUUCAGCUCUUAACCUGUGUGUCCGCAUUUUUGAUCUCUGUGGCUGUGAGACAACGAACCUCGGGUGUCGCCCCAGACAAGGCCGCUUCAACAUGAUGCACUUUUUAACAAUAGACGUUGCAUGAACCCCAAAUACCUGAGACAGGUCUCGAUUUAGGAAGUUUAUUUUGCCAAGGUUAAGGAUGCACAGGUGUGACACAGCCUCAGGACGUCCUGAUGACAUGAGCCCAAGGUGGUUGGGGCACAGCUUGGUUUUAUACAUUUUAGGGAGACAUAAGACAUCAAUCAAUAUAUGUAAGAUGGACAUUGGAUCAAUAUGGAAAGGUAGGACAACUCGAAGUGUGGGAGAGGACUUCCAGGGCACAGGUAGGUAAGAGACAAAUGGUUGCAUUCUUUUGAGUUUCUGAUGAGCCCUUCCAAAGGAGGCAAUCAGACAGGCCUUUAUCUCAGUGAGCAGAGAUAACUGAAUAGAAUGAAUGGGAGGCAGGUUUGCACUAAGCAGUUUCCAGCUUGACUUUUCCCUUUAGCUUAGUGAUUCUGGGGUCCCAAGAUUUGCUUUCCUUUCACAGUUGUGACAAGGUUUUCAGAAAUCCAUUGUGGCAAAAAAGAAGCACCUGAACCUUUUUAUUUGGGUAGAAUAAAAACAGAAACAGUAACAGGAUAUUCAGAUAAUAUGCUACAACCAGUUCCUUCCCUGUCCCUGACAAAGGUGCGCCAAGGGAAAUUAAACCACAGGAAAUGUUAUUCAUGUUAAAACAAUCUAUUCAGGACUCAAAACUACAAAUCAAAGAAAAUUUGAAAAACCUUUCCAAUAAGUUUCAGUGAAAACAUUCUUUAUUAGUAAGCAGACAUUUCAAACUUUUUGAUUACAUACAUCAU
RNAcentral lists this long non-coding RNA (988 nucleotides) under Homo sapiens (human). RNAcentral describes it as "HSALNT0137392". The record is from RNAcentral. Lineage: Eukaryota; Metazoa; Chordata; Mammalia; Primates; Hominidae.